GCCAGGUUAGCCUAGUGGUACGGCGGCCGCCUCGAAAGCGGCUGUGCUUUUGCACCCAGGGGUUCGAAUCCCUUACCUGGCG
RNAcentral lists this transfer RNA (82 nucleotides) under Cenarchaeum symbiont of Oopsacas minuta. Its description in RNAcentral is "tRNA-Ser". It matches the Rfam family "tRNA". Rfam says of the family: Transfer RNA (tRNA) molecules are approximately 80 nucleotides in length. Their secondary structure includes four short double-helical elements and three loops (D, anti-codon, and T loops). Lineage: Archaea; Thermoproteati; Nitrososphaerota; Candidatus Cenarchaeales; Candidatus Cenarchaeaceae. The record is from RNAcentral.